Molecule: ribosomal RNA, 427 nt
Filed under: uncultured bacterium
Lineage: Bacteria
Description: bacterial SSU rRNA
Rfam family: Bacterial small subunit ribosomal RNA
Source: RNAcentral
GGACCCGCACAAGUAGUGGAGCAUGUGGUUUAAUUCGAAGAUACGCGCAGAACCUUACCAACACUUGACAUGUUCGUCGCGACUUUAAGAGAUUAAAGUUUUCGGUUCGGCCGGACGAAACACAGGUGCUGCAUGGCUGUCGUCAGCUCGUGUCGUGAGAUGUUGGGUUAAGUCCCGCAACGAGCGCAACCCUCACUUUUAGUUGCCAUCAUUUAGUUGGGCACUCUGAAAGAACUGCCAGUGAUAAGCUGGAGGAAGGUGGGGAUGACGUCAAGUCCUCAUGGCCCUUACGUGUUGGGCUACACACGUGCUACAAUGGUAUCUACAACAGGAAGCAAGACUGCGAAGUUAAGCAAAUCAGAAUGUCGCGGUGAAUACGUUCCCGGGCCUUGUACACACCGCCCGUCACACCAUGGGAGUGGGUUGC